CUACGCCAAAACCCACAUGAUCUGUAACGUCAGCAUGCGUAUUUGCAUACGAUACCACCGAGCUGGCACUGCGGCCGGCGCCGCACAAAGUUGCAAAGUGAGCCCGGCCCCCUCCGGCCGGCGGGGUCAGCGCGGGGCGCCGCGGGCGGGGGCGGCCUCAGGCCCCGGUUUGCGGCCGGGCGGGCGUGCGUUAACUUCGAAGUCCGAGCCCAGUAACGGACCCGGUGGAAUUUGCGAGCAGCGGAGGGGAGCUUGGCUUGCUCGGAGAACACCCGCAUUCCACGUCUGCCGCUCCAUCCGCUGGACAGCCAGCCAGCUCUGAAGACACCCUCUGUUGUUACCGUGAAUAAAACAGAAUCGUUCAUGACCCCAGGACUGAUGGCUCCCUGCUGACCUGUUGAAUCUGUCUCCCCUUGGACCGUUAUCCCACACCGCUGGAUGGGAGCGCAUCUGCCGGACCCACCUCUGAAGGUCAGCACCAAGCCCAGAACCGGGGCCAGAGCAAGUGCUCAGCAAACAUCUGGCAGAUGAACAAGCGGGCGCUCGCCUCUCCCAGCCACCGGGCAGCCCCAGAAGCAGGUGUCAUUGUGCUCCCGCCACCAGACUGAGAAACCAGACUCAGAGACGAAAGGCAGCACUUCCAAAAGGGCAGGAACAAGUUUGAGACCCUGUUUUAUCUUUAUUUGUCUUUAUUAGAGUGCCAUGAGCGUUCCCUCAUGGCCACGCAUUCUGUCUCUCGUGUAUGUUUGUGUGCGGGUUUACUUUGGCAUAGAUGCUCCGAUUCAGGUGACAAAUGAUGGGAGGCAGCAGAGAGCCCCACCCCACUUUUGUUUCCUAG
RNAcentral lists this long non-coding RNA (838 nucleotides) under Heterocephalus glaber (naked mole-rat). Its description in RNAcentral is "lncRNA (ENSHGLG00100036611.1)". Lineage: Eukaryota; Metazoa; Chordata; Mammalia; Rodentia; Bathyergidae. The record is from RNAcentral.